AGAAUCAACGCUGGCGGCGUGCCUCAGACAUGCAAGUCGAACGCGAAAGUCCCCUUCGGGGGACAAGUAGAGUGGCGCACGGGUGAGUAACACGUAGGUAAUCUACCUUCGGGUGGGGAAUAACAACCGGAAACGGUUGCUAAUACCGCAUAAUGCAGCGGCACCUAAUGGUGACAGUUGUUAAAGCGGGGGAUCGCAAGAUCUCGCGCCUGAAGAGGAGCCUGCGGCGAUUAGCUAGUUGGUAGGUAAUGGCCUACCAAGGCGACGAUCCGUA
Molecule: ribosomal RNA, 274 nt
Filed under: uncultured soil bacterium
Lineage: Bacteria
Description: partial 16S ribosomal RNA
Rfam family: Bacterial small subunit ribosomal RNA
Source: RNAcentral